Molecule: long non-coding RNA, 331 nt
Organism: Pantherophis guttatus
Lineage: Eukaryota; Metazoa; Chordata; Lepidosauria; Squamata; Colubridae
Source: RefSeq, a predicted model, not a curated record
GACACUCCCGCAGCUAUCUCUCCAGAUGUCAGCUCGGAGGAAGAUGAACCAGUUCCAGGCAUGUCUCAUACCGCACCAAAACCCAUGUUUCAACAAGACUGGAAGGCUCACCUCUAUUCCCAAAGUUUUCAGUUUCUCUUCCCAAGAAUUCAUGACGACAGGAGGAAGAGACCCACGGGGUUUGCAAGCUGUCACCACCAUAAGAACCUCUCCAUUUGAAAUGUCUGCAAUGCAACCGUUGGGAAAAUGAAUCGUUCAACGUUGGCAGGUUAAACCACAGUCCAUCAAUUGCCACAAUUCGCCGUAGGCCAUCAAUCACGGUUUACAAAUA